UACGUAGGGGGCGAGCGUUAUCCGGAAUUAUUGGGCGUAAAGGGUGCGCAGGCGGUUUGCCUAGUUCGUGGCGACAGCCAUCGGCUUCACCGAUGGAGGACUGCGAAAACUGGCAGAUUUGAGAGCGAGAGAGGGAUAUGGAACUCCGGGUGGAGCAGUGAAAUGCGUAGAGCUCCGGAAGAACACCGAAUGCGAAGGCAAUGUCCUGGCUCGUCUCUGACGCUCAAGCACGAAAGCAAGGGGAGCGAACAGG
This 253-nucleotide ribosomal RNA is filed under the name uncultured bacterium. RNAcentral's name for it is "partial 16S ribosomal RNA". It matches the Rfam family "Bacterial small subunit ribosomal RNA", at positions 524 to 776 of the family's 1533-position model. The record is from RNAcentral.